Molecule: long non-coding RNA, 27371 nt
Filed under: Glycine max (soybean)
Lineage: Eukaryota; Viridiplantae; Streptophyta; Magnoliopsida; Fabales; Fabaceae
Description: long non-coding RNA (GMAX_LNC000895)
Source: RNAcentral
GUUAUCAUAUUUUUAAAUAGGUAGAGAUAAACGAAAACACGUAUAUAUAAUAUAAGUAUAACAAGCUCAACUUAGCACAAUUCGCAUCAUUUUAUCACUUAUUGUGUAACAUCACUUGUCCUAGGGAUUUAAUCUCAAAAUCACAUUCCACAAUCACAUUAAUCAGUGUUCAGAAAAACACAUCUCAAGUACAAUACAACAUCUUACACUUACACAAUUCAUUAUCCACCAUCGUAAGUCACAAUGAUCAUUACACAGGUGUUAUGCAACAAAUACAAUAAGACUCAAUCCUAUAUGCAAUAUGGUAUCAUGUCAGUGAAAAACCUCGUCAGACGCCUAGGAGUACAUGACAAGACCGACUACACACUGGUAAGUCAGGUCACUCUCACUAGGUAAAAUCAUAGAGAGACCAGUCAUGAUCACACUGUUUUGCAAGAAUGCUUUGAUCAAGUGGGAUCGACACAGACUUAAAGGAGCACUCAAACCAGGUGUAUUUACUCCUAAAGCCUAGACUCCAAAGAGUCCGUUAGGGACUCUUUCUCCUGAUUCAGGUUCAACCCUGAAAAUAUUUUAACAUACAAACUCUAUCUUUGAACUAUAUGACACCUCAAUUGUUCUCAAAAUAAUUUUAACUUGUCACACCUCAAAAUGAUUCAACUCGUCGGUUUCUCACAGUCUCAUCACAAUACUCGACGCGCAUUAACUCGUCGUCCUUAAAGGGUCUUAUAGUCAUGUGAUUGUACAGUUUAUAGCUCACAACUCAAUGUCAUCACUUUACACUUCACAAUAACAUGUAUAAUCACAUUAAGGAACGUAUUAAUCUCACACUUGUUCACAACACAUGUCUCAUCGUACACAUUAUCAUAUCAUAAGGAACAAAACCCCUUAAUCAAUUUCAAGAAAACAUACAAGAAUCAAGAAUUCCCAAAUUUUUAGAUUUCUAACAUUUAAAAGUCAAACACUCAAUUAAACCAUCCAAUUUGCAUCAGGGCAUCAAUUAACCCGCCAAACAUGAGAAAUUUUUAGUUAUCAUUGUACAGACAAAAUCAAAAUGCAUAAAACACCCUAAAAUUAACCCUAAUUUGAUCAUCUAAGGAUCCCUACACAUGUUCAUUCUAACUUCAAUUGCGAUCAAUUCAUCUCUUACCUCUAAGAGAGCUCAUGUGUGUAGUCCGGUAGUGAUAGCAGCAUCUUUAGUGGUUCCUUAAGAUUCCUCAAGCGUUUCCUUUGUUUUGUUAGAAUUUCAAGCGUUAGAGAGAAGGAGAAGGGAUUGGAGCCUCAAUUUCACUGUCUUCGUGUGUGGGACAUUUCUCUCUCUACAGACAUUAUUUCACAAAUCUCAACAGCGAGAAUGUGCGAAAAUGAGUUCCGAGGGUGACGUUCAAAUUUUAGGACUAUUCAACGGUUAACAAGUCCGAGAUUGUAGUUUUACUAGGACAGACUUGAGUAUAUGAAAAAAGAGAGGAUUUUUGUGAGGAAAAGAAGGGAGAAUGAAUUUGAAAGAAAAAAAAAAAAGAGCAUAGACACGUACCCUUGAAGUAUGUCUCUGAUUAUAUUUAGGGUGAGCCUAUUGCUAUUCUAUUUUCCUUUAUUUUAUUAUUUUAUAAAAAGAACUCUAUUUUACUUUUUUACUAAAUAAAUAACCAAUUAAAACGUCACUAUAUUUUUAUAAAACAUGAUUUUAUUCUAUUUAUUUUCUAAUACCGUGAAAUUCUUGAUUUAAUUAACAAAAAAUCAUUUCUCUCAUUUAUUUAAUUUCUAAAAACUCUAUUAAUGUCUAGUCUACAUGAAAUUUCAAUCCAAUAUCUCACCCCAAAACAUGCACUUAAUUCAAUUAAUUAUAAAAACUCAAAAUACAUACUUAAUAUAUAUAUAUAUAUAUAUAUAUACACACACACCGAAAACCGGGGUGUUACAUUAUACACCAGUAGCAAUUUUUCUUAUGAAAUUAAGCACUUGUUAUAAUUUAUUGUCUAGGUAUAUGGUGCCAUCUAGCCCCAUAUCUUCAACUUUGAAUGAUUUCAUUUCAUAAUAUUAAAUCCCAUAUAUCCCGUGUAUGAAAUAAUAAAAUUGUUAUGAUGUUUUCUGUCGCAAGUCACUACCCUUAACAGUGUGCAUGCAUUUCAUCAUCUGAGGUCCAGAUUAUAAAGGCUUAUAGUUGACUUCUGAUAUUUGAAACUAAACGGAAUUCUGUUAACCCAAUACUGAAUGCAUGAAACCUCAAUGAUAUGAUACUUUAAAAUAUCUAAAACCGAUAUUGUCCCUCGUUUUUAAAAUGUUCUGAGCUAAUUAUGACUAAUGAUGGGCAAUUUGAAAAAUAAACUUAAAGCUGCUGAAAGUUUUCAUCAUUUAGAUUUUUUUUGGUGAAAAUUUCAUCAUUUAGAUUGAUUGGUAGUUUUUAUUUAAUACCUAUCAAAAGUGAAGUUAAGUGAAAAAUGCUGAAAACAUUCAGCACAUGAAGGUUAUUCAAUGCAUUCAACAGAAAACAGUUUUGCACGAUCUAGAUUGUCUAAAAUCAGUACUUAAACAAACAAACAGUUCUUUAAAUGUACAAAUUCAGUGUGUAUUUCUUGUUACCGAAAAAUUCCGUACUAAGUUUUCAAUUUUAUCAAACACACAUUAAGACAGAGCAUAAUAAUCUUUUCAAAAUUGUAUUUUUUUUUUCCUAAGCUCUGAGUCAAUUAUAUUUUUCCCCUUGUACAUGUAAUAUUUUAAAAUGAUCAUAGAAAUUCAAGGAAUUUAAUUGAGACUAAAACUUAAUAUAAAAUUAUUUUUCAUGAUUUUAAAAGUUUUCAGAAGAUGAAUACAGAUUCCCUCACUGGCUUGAGAUAUUAGUUGUUAAACCAGAGAUUUGAGAAUGAUUUGAUGUAAGGCGUUGUCUGUUUUUCUCAUUCCCCUCUCAUACUAUUUUUUUUCAUUAUGUUUAGACAGCAGGACCAUUUUAUGACUUCAUAGGGGCAGGACUAACUAGUGUGAAGAUCAAGGGACUGAAAAAUGGGACAAUAGACUUGUCUUCUUAUGCCUGGACUUACAAGGUACUUUUUCUCCUGCAUUACCAUCCUAAAAUGGAUACCCCCACUAUCUUUGAAAUGCUGCUCAAUAUUUUAUAGACCCUUGAUGGUGGUAUUAAGCAUGGAAAUUUAAAUUAUCAUGCUUUCUCAGAUUGGAGUGCAAGGAGAAUAUCUAAGGUUAUACCAGGGAAAUGGGUUGAAUAAAGUGAACUGGACAUCUACUUCAGAACCACAAAAAAUGCAGCCAUUGACAUGGUACAAGGUAAUGAAUGACCUUUCUUGUUUUCUCCAUCAUUUAUGGAAAUUAUCCAUACAUCUUCUAUUUUUUUUUAAGGAAAUACAUAUUUCAUUUAGUUUGUGUUUUAUGGUGAAGUAUCUUAUAAAAUUCUUGGCCUUGCAGGCAAUUGUGGAUGCUCCGCCUGGGGAUGAACCAGUUGGAUUGGAUAUGUUACAUAUGGGAAAGGGUCUAGCCUGGUUAAAUGGAGAAGAAAUAGGAAGAUAUUGGCCUAGGAAAAGUGAAUUCAAGAGUGAAGACUGUGUGAAAGAAUGCGAUUACAGAGGCAAAUUUAAUCCUGACAAAUGUGACACUGGUUGUGGAGAACCUACACAGAGAUGGUAAAACUAAGGACAAUAAUGAUUUCCAUGGAAUUGAUGAAUUGAAAUGCAGUCUUUUCCUUUUUUACAUAUGCAGAAAAAAUUUACCUUCGAUAUGUCAACUAGUAUAAAAGUGGUUGAUAGAGUUUUGUGCCUAAUGCCAACCCUCAACCAGCAGAAAUAUGUGAAGUAAAAUACUAAAAUAAGAUUGUGUACAAAUCCAUGCAGUUGAUGGUGCAGGAUUGAUCCCUGGCAGAUUCUUUAUUUUACAAAAUAAUUGGCGAGGAUUGGUCAUAUUAUCAGAAAGGGUAUAUUUGAUGGCCUAGUAGGUUCUGUAUGUUUUGCUUCAUAUGAGGCUGUCCUCAGUUUCUAUAAUGAAUUAGAACACAGUACAUUUUUACAAUUAUGAGAGAUUUACUUUAUUCUGUAGUUCCUUAUACAUCAUUUGCAAAUCUGACAAGUUGACUAGAGUAGAAACUAGAAAGCAUUCAUGAUUCAUCAUAAUUGUAAAGAACUAAGUUUAUUUGAUAGGUCUUAGAGUUGUGUAUUGUUCUUGUUGUCAAUUAAACAUUCUGCGUUUCCUAUGUAUCAGGUACCAUGUUCCACGAUCUUGGUUCAAGCCAUCUGGAAAUAUUCUUGUUCUUUUUGAGGAGAAAGGUGGAGAUCCAGAAAAGAUUAAGUUUGUGAGACGGAAAGUAUCUGGAGCUUGUGCCCUUGUUGCUGAGGAUUACCCCUCUGUUGGACUCCUUUCCCAGGGUGAAGAUAAAAUACAGAAUAACAAAAACGUUCCUUUUGCCCAUUUGACAUGCCCCAGCAACACUCGUAUAUCUGCUGUGAAGUUUGCUAGCUUUGGAACCCCCUCUGGGUCAUGUGGAUCUUACCUCAAGGGAGAUUGCCAUGAUCCCAAUUCUAGCACAAUUGUUGAGAAGGUAUGUCUUUUUGCAACUUUUUUGUAUUGCAUAUGGGUUAUUCUCUCCUAAGAAUCUAUUAAUAUUUUCAUUUUGAAAAUUAAUCACACAAUUAAGGGAUGUCUUGAUGCUUAUGGGUUUGCAUUAACUGUUCAAGCAAUCCUAUUAGCUUUGCUGUGUGUGCAUUAUAAACAAUUCCUAAAGGAACUUAUCACAAUUAAUAUAACACUAACUCUUAGCUGGUAAUUGUCUUUCAUUCCUCCUCAUCUGCUAUGUUUUCAUUGGGAAGAGGUUGAACCAUGAACCUCAUUCAUAUCAAAGUGUCAUCAUGAAUCCCAGCAUUUCAAAUACUUGUUACACAUCAUAUUAAUAAGUUAACUUUUAUCGACAUGAUCAUCCCUUGUUUGUUUCUUUGAUAUUUAAAGAGAAAAUUUAGCAUAUUCAGGUCACCCUCAUGCAUCCGUCUAAUUGUUUGUUCAUGCCUAAUUGUUUCUUCUUGUUUCGAAGGAUUAUAAUACUGAUGGAUCUUUAUAAACUCCGUUGUUGUUGCAGGCAUGCCUAAACAAAAACGACUGUGUCAUAAAAUUAACUGAAGAGAAUUUCAAAACCAACUUGUGUCCUGGUUUAUCAAGGAAACUUGCAGUGGAAGCAGUCUGUAGUUGAUUAAUAAACUAACAUACUCCGGUGCCAGAGACUCGUCACUUUGUGACUGUAGUUGAUUAAUUUUACUGUCGAUUCAGGAGGAACGUUGCAUCUCACCAUUUAUUUUACCAGCUUGGCUACAUCAAAAAAGCAUAUGAAAAUUUUGCAUGUAUUAAUUAAUAUGAAUAUUGUCAGCAAGGUCUCUAAUGUAUAAUUUAUGGCAGAGAAUUCUGCUGCAAAUGCGUUAUCUAUUAAUCAAUUUGGCUUUCACAUGGGGGUGUUAGCCAUUGAGUAUCAAUGCAUUUUAUUCACACUAGGCUCUGCAACAGAACUUUUGUGGUAACAUUUUGAUCAUGUGAGAAGUUAACGUUCAUUUUAGAUUUUGUCUACACGUUUUGUGCGAAAGUCUAAAUAAGCUGGUGAAACACGAAUACAAGUGAUAUUUUCCAUACAGAAUUCACAACAGUUGAAAAUAGCCUGGCCGUUUGCAUUUGAUUGGAUUUAAUAAAAUGGGUGGUGAGUUAAAAUAAGCAUCAACUAAAAUCCGUUACGUUCUGUAUGAACCUCAAACUACGACAACACCUUAACUUAAAAAGUUGAUUAUAAAAUUCUUAUUAUCUAUUUUCUUGUAAUUUAUUUAUGUAUUUUAUAAUACAUAAAUAGUUAUGGUCACUACUAACAAGUCUGUUAGUCUACUAUUAUAUUGCCUUCCCAAAUGUUUGGAGAUGAAUAUAUUUAAUCCGUUGACUUUUUGAUACCAUCUAUCGGUCUGAAUUAUAUUAUCCAACUAUUCAGAUAAGAUUUGCAAUAGGACAUAAAAAAAAUAUAUAGAUCAUAUAUUUUUAAUGUAAACAGGAGUACGCAAACUAGUAGGGUUCAAAUUAUGAAUUAAAAUGAGUUUGAUAACUAAAUCUAACUUAAAAUAACCGUGGCUAGCGAUGUGUGUUUGUAUUCAUAUAGUUGUGUUUUCAAAUUGAAAUUUAAGUUAUACGGAGUGAAUUCUUUGAGAAAGAGUGAAUCAUCCAACAGUGCCAUUAUCCUAUUCAUGACAGCCACUAAUUCGUUUACUAUUCCGUCGCAGCCCUACGCCGCUAUAGCAUGCUACUCAAAACCCUGUACGUAAGAUGGCUAUAAACAUAAUAAAAGGAGAAAUCUAAUAAAUGAGGGGAAGGUUGUAAUAUUGAUGCUAUACUUCCUCAAUCAUAAAACAUCAGCUUCCAGGCAGGAAUCGGGAUAAUAGAGGCAAACUGAAGGCAAUAUAAUAUGUUAAACUGCUCAACUAAGAAUUCAUCUAGUGUAUUAAAAAUUCACAGAUUCAUGCAUGAUAAUAUUUCUCUCACAACAUAUUCAAGAUUUCAACAAGAGAAACAGUAAUUAAACUGGAAAAGGAAAGAUAUUUUUUUCUCUCCUGUUGGAUAGGAACAGUGUUUACAACUGUGCCAGCGUUGUUCAUCAUUUCCCCCUGGAAUUUCGAAAAGAAAACUUGUAAGAGAAUUAUUUCACUUAUUCUUUUCAAAAAAGAAAAAGAAAAUCAUGAGAAAGAUAAAAGUACAAUUAUGAUUUCAUUUAAGUCUUCAUCAUGAGAAAUGUAAAAGUACUUUCACUUACGUGUUCAUCAUCAAGGUUAUGUUGUCUCCUUUAAGAAGGAUCCUCCCUAAUCAAAAAAUAAAUCCUUCAGAAAAUGCACAAGUUGCAAAAGGCAAAUAGAACAAUAUUUGAGAAACUGUAGCAUACCUAAUGUCUUUCUGCUUUUCUUCUUGACGUUCACUUCUUCAGCAUCAUCAAGAACCAAAUUCAUGUAUUCAUCAAAACCCUGUUUGGAAAACAAUAAAAUCACAUUAUCCUUAACUAUCAGCUCAAAUGAUCAAUAUUUUUAACAAGGGUACGCUGUCUACAACAAUUACCACCAUUCAUUCACAUUCCCCUACCCAAGAACAAAAAAGUUCACAAAAAAUCCAAGAGUCAACAAAUUUUAGAUCACACUGUUUUAGAUAUCAGCUUAUAUCACAGAGUGCAUGAGGAAAAUCCACGCUUUUUGGACAUAUGGAAUAAAUUCCGUAGGUUAAUUUUAAGUGUAUGACUAUAAAAUUUUGUAAGAUUUUAAAAAAACAAAACACCACCAUUAAACUAAAUUCCCUCACAAUCCAAUCAACUGAUGAUCACGGCGCUCAUAUAAAGUCACAGACGAAUUAUAAAUAAAAAAAAUCACAUGUUAAAGUCGACAAAACACAAUUUUGAUGAUGAGCACCGAUGUAACAAAGAAGCAUACAAAACAAGACUCACAAUGAUUCGGCCUUCAAUCCUCAAAUCCUUUUGCUCAAAGAGCCAAAUCUGGAUGCGCGCUUUCUGCAUAAAUUACAAUUAGAGAAAGAAAACAAAGUCAAAAAAAAAUUAGGGGAAAUGCAGAAGGAAUUAUCAACGAGAAUGAGAGUAGGUGAAGACUUACGCUCUGAAGAAACCUGAAAAUCAAGUUCUGAAAAAAUCAAGAAAAGGAAUGAGGGUAGGUUAGGGUUAGAAUUAACAAAAUCGAGAGUGAAAGAGUGUGUGAGAAUCAUACAAUAGGUUGGGUCAUAACCCUCUGAACUUUGGUACUCGCCAUGGCUGCUAAAAUCUAUGAGAUUGCAAGAGAUGGGCGGGAAGACACUAAAGCUAGGGUUUUGCCCUCUUACUCUGUUGCAGACAACUAACAAUAAGUGGGCAUUAGCUAGGACUUUUAUAGUUUGGGUUUUAUUAAAAAAAAUUAGAAAAAAUAAACAAAAUAAAAAAUAGUACAAAUUUAUAAUUUAUAAAUUUAUAAUAAAAAAUUAAAUAUAUUAUAGUAGUUGUUUAGUUUUAAUUAUCUUAAAAAAUGUUUAUUGUAUAUAUUUUAACCUUAAAUAAAAAAAUUGCAUCACUUUUAUUAAAUAUAAUAAUUAAAAACAAAUUCAAUUUUUAUAAUAACUAAAAGAGUAUAAUUUCAUAAAAUAAAAAUAAUAUUUAAAAUUAUAUUGUAUUUUAUAUAUGAAAAUGAAAGAAAUUUUGUCCUCUUAGAUUAUAUAUUUAUAUCACUUAAAAAUACCUCAAUUAUUCAAUAACUUUAAUUAAACGAAACAUAUUUUAAAAAUAAUAUCAUUGAAUAUGAGAAAAUGCUAAGAACAUUUUCAAUGGAUGCAAUUCAAACAAUUCAUUUUGAGCUCUUAAGAGCAUGUUGAUUGACUCAUAUAAUGUUACACCAUAUUUAAACAAUUCAAGGGGAUCAAGAUAUAAGAUUGAUUUAAUGUUGAGAAAAAGUGGUAAAAAGAGAAGGAAGGAAAAAAAGUUGUAGGUUCAAAUUUUCCAAUGAACAUUUCUAACAAAACCAAUCAUUGUCAAUAACAAAAAAAUAAUUCAUGAAAGUUAUAAAGUUGGUUUGAUGAUUGAAGGGAGAAGAAAAAGAAAGAUGUUGUGGGUUUGAAUCUUUCUUAUUAACAAAUUAACAACUAAUAUUGGCCUUUCAAAAAAAUGUUAAGCAAUUCAUACACAUUUCAAGCAACUCUUAAAUAAUCAUGCUUAAAUAGUAUUUAAAUGGUAAGAAAAUAUUUUUUUACUCAUAAGCAACCAUAAAUUAUAUAAAUCGAGUUUUUUAUCUCAAAAAUACAAAAAAAAAAAUAAUACUAGUGCAAAAUUAUUUACAUAAAUGAUAAAAAAAAACACUAUUGGGAUUAGGGGUGGCAAAAUGUGUUGGAUCUAUCGGAUCAAACUGUUUUGGCCAGUUAGGUUGAGGUUUUCAACUUGUCAACUCACUUUAACUCGCCUUGUUUUGGUCCGUCAAAAAAUAAGUUGAGAGAAAAACGAGACGAUUCAUUCCACUAACCUAUCUUUUAUUAAAAGAAAUAAAAUUUAUUUUGAUAUUUUAUACAUAUAUUAUUAGUUUUUAAUUAAUUUAUAUUUUGUCUAAUUAAAUUGUUAUUAAAAAGUUUGAGGCAAUACAUUCAAUUUUUUUAGAAGUAUUUAUUAUUUAAUAUUUAUAAAAAAUAAAAUUAAUUAAAAUCAAUUACAAUAUAUUUAUUACUUAUUUUUUUGUUAAUAUUUUAGUCUUGACAAACCAAUUCAACUAAAAACGAGAUAAACUGUCACUUCUGACUCAUAACAAAUGUGGAAAGGAAUGGAUUAACCCAUUUUUAGCGGGUUGGUGGCAUAAUAGGAUGGGAUAACCCAUUUUGUCACCCCUACUUGGGUGAGAAAUUGGUUUCCCAUACCCUGAUUUGCAAAGUGGAGCUUAAAAAAUUUAAAUUUAUGUUCUCCAAAGUUGGAUCAGUGGCCUAUGCAUUGAUUUCUCAACAUAUUUUUUUUCAUUUCAUUUUUAUAACCUUAUUUUUUUUGCAUUUUAAUUUAUUAUUUUUUUAAUUGUACACUUUAAUUUGAAUUUAUUAUUGGUACAUGUGAAAUCUUUAAUAAUUUAAAAGAAAAUGUGAAAAUAAUAUUAUUUUCAUUUGAAAAAUAAAUUUAAAAAGUAAAAUUAACAUACAUCUUACAAAUUCUAUUUUGUGAUGAGAAACAAUUGAAUGACAUCAUCGACAUGGAUGAUAAUAAAUUAAUAAUUUUCAUUUAAGGAAAAAGGACUAAUAAAGCCAAUAAAAUAUCCAAAUCUUAUUUUUGAAGAUAAUUAUUUCCAUUUAUAAAAAAAGAAUAAUUAAUCCAAUUUGAUUUUUUAUAACUUGCCUAUACAACUUUAAGAGCAUAAAGUAUUACCUGAUAAGUUCAUUUAAAAAUUAAAUGCAUCUAAUAUUUGUCAUAAUAUCUACUUUUAUAGUAGUUCACUAGUCUCAUAUUAAUUUUAAUUGAGAUUUUUUUUGAGUUUAUGCGUAAUUCACUAACAAAGGCAAAACCUAAGACAUGACCACAAGCCAAAAUCUAAAUUCCAAACUUUGGGUAACCAAAAUCAAUGUAAACAAAAGUAGUAAUUGUUGGUAGUUUCCAAUAUUUUAGGAAACAAAUAUUUUUUUGUUUUAAUUUAAAGUGAGUAGAAAUGAUUAUAUGAAAUGUGUUAUUGUAUGUGAUUUAUUUUUCAACCUAUAUUCAAACUCAUAUUAAUGUUAACAUUCAGAAUUAGAUCGUGUGUGGAUUUUAUGAUUCUCACAUAUAUCUCCAUGUUUUGAACUCCAUGAUAGAAAGAGUUCUAUACAAGACAUAUUAUUCAUUAUUUUAGAUCACUAAGUUGACUACUCCUUCAGAAACGAAACAUCUUCGUGUUGAGUUAGUGAACAUUUAGAAAAGUCGAAACUGAAUGGGGUUGCGUACGUGCGAGCUUUGCAUUGGUUGGAGAUUAGUUUUCGAUAUGAUAUCGCUUAUGCUUUUAGUUUGAUUUGAAUGUGUUUAUUUGAUUUUUAACAUGUUUGGAUUACAUUUAGUGUUUCAUUUGGUAUCAGAGCCUUCUAUAUGCCUCUGCCUUCCUUAAUUUGAUAUUUUUAGAAUAUGAGCUUUAUGUUUUUGAGUAUUUUAAUUCAAACUAAAGUCAAAAAUUAAAUGGAAAUCAUUUUUCUAACCUUUACGUGUUUUAAAGCGUUAUUUUUGGUGUGAAAAAAUGCUAAUAAACCAUUGGGUUUUUAAUCCGAUUCGUGGGUCUCAACCGAGUUAGAAUGACCUGGAUGUUGAAGAUCGAACGCAUUACAGUGACUAAGGUGUUUUUCCUUUAUGUUCUUGACAUGAGUUUGAUUCUCACUGACUCUUUUUUAGCAUUUUCCUUUUAGUUAAUAAUUUAAAAAAAAAGUUCAGUUUUGGUCCAAAGAUGAUUCAAACCAAUGUAGUUGUAUAUUCUUAAAGAAGAAAUAACCACUAAAUUGUACCAACUCUUUUAUAAUUAUUGUGUUUUUUAAACUUUUAUUUGAAAAAAUAUAAAAUUGUUGGUUUUUGUGAACUAUGCGAUGGUCUUUACUCUAUUAAUUUACAAAAUGUUGUUGCUUAUAAUUCUAUGCAUAUUUUUGCUAGGUUAAAAUGAUGUAUUCUAAAUGAUGAUUCUUCUAUGUUAUGACACCGGAGAUUGAGACACAUCUCCAUUGAGUGAAUUAGGCUAUUAGUAAAUAGUGAGAUACUUAGUACUUUAGAUUUUAUUGAUUUUGAGACUUGUGUGAAUUACAUUAAGGGUAAACCAACUAACAAGUCUUAAACUGAUGCAAAGAGGAAUUUAAACCUAUUGGAGAUCAUUCAUACAUAUAUUUGUUUUCCAAACAUGGACACAAGUAGUUUGAGAUACUUCAUCAUAUAUAUAUAUAUAUAUAUCUUCAUUCUAAAAUAGCUUGGACGCCUUUAAAGUUUUUUAAGACUGAAGUAUACGUUCCUUGAUAAACAUAACGGAAUCAUUUGUGAAACAGAACUGUAAAUACAAAACCUCACAGUCAUUUCUUUGACUGAACCUCAGCUUGUUAUUCCAAAAUUUUGGAGCAGAGAAAAGGUUGUAGUAUAAUCCACAGAGUUUGGCAUGACGAUCAGAUCAUCAGUAAUGAGAAAAGACGCAACAGCGUCGACAAAUCCAUUACCGAAAUGUUUCAAAAAAAACUGUACGGGUCAAAGGAUUCCCACAUCUACAAUUUGCUUUAGUUGUGCAUAGUGAUGACUGUAGUGGAUGUUAUCAAACUUGGUACAUACGAAGUACUUUUUGGGAUCAGUGUCAUCAAUGUUAAGCUUAAGAUUGUUACAAUAAUCUUCUGAUGAAUUCCUUGGUUGCAAUAACAUUUCUUUGCAUGUCUGUUCCCCAAGACACUCGUCGAGUUGCAAUGGUUCCUAAAGGCAGUGUUAAGAAGUUAAAUAACACGUCCACGAAGUCCUUCCCCUGCUUGAGCAAACAAGACUUUGUGAGUCUCUUUGUUCACCACAAGUUUCAAUGACACAUGCACAUCUGUUUUGAGUACCAGCCAUGGUAGCAACUUGUAAAGAAACUUCAAACAAAUUUGUACUACGACAAGUUGAGUGGCGUUAAUUGGCUCUGUUUUCACAGCAUACGACCUUUACAUUUACGAGUAACAUGACCUAGAAAUUGAUUAGCAAUUUAGCAUCACUUACCUCGUUCAAUAAAAGAAAUGGUCUUUUCAAUAAAGAUGAACAGAUGUUUGGCCCAGUUACUUAUUUAAGAAAAAGAAAAAUUAAAUAAAAUGAGUGAACAAGCAUUAUCAUAGACUAAAGUUUCAAAGGAUAAAUUAUAAUAUCAUCUUAAAAUUUAAGUUUGAUUUAACUCAAUUUGAUAAUUAGAAAUUAAAAAAAAUGAUAAAAAUUAUCUUUCAUAUAUAUAUAUAUAUAUAUAUAUAUAUAUAUAUAUUAUUUUAACUCAAAUAUAUUUUUCAUAUUUAUAAUAUAUUUAUUUUUCCGUUACUAAGAUAACUUGUUACAUCAUUAUUUAACGUAAUAUUUUAUUAACUUGAUAUGGCAUCAUUUAAAAUAAUAAAAUUAAUGACAUAUACCAAAAGUUUAAAAAUAUUUGGUAGUAAAAAAAAUAUUUUUUAGAUAAUAAACUGAAAAAGAAAUAUUAUAAAUAGGAAAAACAAUUUAAGCCUAUAUUUUUCAUUUUAUUAUUGAAAUUUUCAAUAAAUCUCAUAUGGCGAACAAUUGUUUCUUUUUGUAAAAAAGAAAAGAUAAAACAUUUUUUUUGUAAAAAAAGAUAACAGUAAUUUUUGCUAUAGUUUUAUGCUCUUGCUGCUUUAAUCUAAAUUUUUGUUAUCAACACUGCUCUAACUUACAGUUUAAAAGAAAAAACACUGCUCUAACUUCAAUUCAACCGUUCCAGAAUUGCAUUCUAAUUCGUAUUCUUCUAAGUUAGAAGAAAAAUAUUAAGCACCUUCGGUAUAACAUUUAUUUUUUGUAAUAUAUUGUUAUUGUUAUGUUGUUAGUAAAUAGCAAUAAGGAUAACUGAACUUUCGAAGAAUACGAGUACCCGUUAGGAACAAGAGGAAAAAAAAGAGAGUAAAGGCACCGAAAAAAGGUCCGUAUAAGAUUAAGAUACUCUGUAAGAUAGAUAUAGUCAAUUCGGUGACGUAUCAAAACUCUUUUGGUAUUGAUCUUGGUAAAAAAGUUUAACUCGUUUUGUUCUUUUUCCAUGUUCAAUUCUUUUCUCUGAUUUUUCAUGAAAUUCAAUAGUUUUGCAUAUUUAUGUUUCUCCCCCACAAAUAUGUGUCCCAUGAUAUUAUCCUUUAUUGUCUAUAAAAUAAAAACACUUAUUUAAGAAAUGGCGUAAGUUUCUUGUGUUUUUAUUCUCUAAUAAAAUAAAAACAGAUAAAUAUUUUUUAAAAUCAUAUAACAUAUACCAAACAAAAAAUUAUUUAUUAUUGAAAAACAUUUCGUGCCAAAACAUAACAAUAAAAAAAUUGACUUAAAUUUGUAUUUAAAAAAAUCAUCUUAAAUAUGCCGAAACUCAUUUUUCCUUCCUUUUUUCUUUAUCACCAAUCAUUAUUUUAAAAUUUAAAAGAUUAAAAUCUCGAGCGUAAACGAUAAGGAAGAGGGGGGUUGGUGAAAGAAGUUUUCCUAGCUAAUAAAAUGACAAAAUAUGCUAGCUAAAACUAGAAUGCCACACCUAAAAACAAAACUAGAAUGUAACACCACUUUAAGAAAAAGAAAAUGAAAGUAACACGUGUAGAGCAUUGGACACUCAAGGUAUAAGAGAAACAAGUGUCGUGCAUGCUACAUUCCACGUUACAACGUUGCUAUUGGUUCGCGUGUCUUAGGGCAGUGCAUGGUUCUUUUAUGUCUUGUGCACCAAUUUGGGAUCAUUCACUCAUCAACACAUAUCGAUAUCUUUUGCUUCGUCUCUUUCAUCGCCUACGCUUCAUUUGAAUCAACACUCCUUCCUCUUCCUCUUUCUCGUCCAUUUUAGUUGUAAGACUAAGAUCUCAUCUUAUUAGAUUCAAUUUGUCUCUUCAUUUUAUCUUUUCUUUGCUCCCAUUAACUUAAUUUUCUCUGUAUUGCCAACAGCAAUCUUUGAAUUCUCCUCCUUAUCAAGUCUUCCUCAUCUUCCCCACCUUUUUGAAAGUGGGUAUAUAUGUCCAGUUAAUUAGCUCUAAAUUGUAUCGACUUUAUUUAGCAACCACCUUAAUUUUCAUAUAGCUUGAUAGAAAUUCAAUUUGUGGUAAAUUUAUAAUAGUCCCUCAAAUGCAUGCAUUUUAUCAGUAGGACAAAAAUAUAGUUCUAUAAGUGUUGUUUAUUUUGUUCUUGAAUCAAAAUUAAAGUUUCACCUAGAUAAUCUGCCUGUCUACUGUUAGAGUUUUGUCUCGAUGAUAAGUUUAAUAAAAAAAAUUGUAUUAAAGAAUGGUGGAGCUUAUAAAGUAUCGAUGAAAUUCUAAGUCUAAUCAGAGAAGAGCACAAACAACAUUUUAGGAACUAUAUAGUGAGUAUAGGUUGAACGAGAAUACAUUCUCAUGCAAGAAAAGUAAACAAUUCAGAGUUUUUGACUCAUCUGCUCUUUGGAACUCUAAUCAAACACACACAUACAAGUUUUGUCAUGUCUUUUGCUAUUAUUGAUGUUAGUUGUGUGUUGUGACUCAGAUGUUUAUGCAACAUGCUUGUUUAAUUUUGUUGGCAGUUUUGGUGUCUAAGAACAUAACCUAAAAGCUCAAGGUGAGUGAAAAGAAGAUGUCAGGUGUGUCUCUAGCAGUGUCUCAUCCACCGGCAUCAGUGGGAGAACAAAACGUGCCUCAAGCAGGCACAAAGCCUAAACCGCGAACAGAACAGGCACCAAUUGGUGGCAUGAUGGGUUCACUUCGCGUGAUAGAGCUUCAGCUUGUCGCUUUCAUCUUGGUGUUCUCAGCAAGUGGCCUUGUCCCACUCCUUGACCUAGUGUUCCCUGCACUUGCCUCUGCAUACAUCUUGGCACUCUCGCUAUUCGCAUUUCCAUCGUCAUCUUCUUCUUCAACGCGUUCGUUACACGACUCGGGGACUGAGAUCUUCAAAGGGGGCAGAUUGUUCCGAAUGUAUGUCGUUGUUGGGAUCACUGUGGGACUCUUCUUGCCGCUGGCUUACGUGCUUGGAGGGUUUGCAAGAGGGGAUGAGCAUGCUGUUCGUUCUGCCACCCCGCACUUGUUCUUGCUGUCGUUUCAGAUACUUACUGAGAACAUCAUCGGUGGGUUGUCUAUGUUUUCCCCACCGGUGAGGGCGUUGGUGCCGAUGAUCUAUACAGUGCGGAGGAUCUUUGUGGAUAUUGAUUGGAUUCAUGAUGUCUGGCUCAACAAGACUCUGCCUGUCAAUGCCACAUUUCAGGUAAUUUUCUAGCAACAAAUGAUAACAAACUUAGCCCUUAUAACUCAGGCUGAUUUAAAAGGAAAAAUAGUGGUAUAACAUGUGAUUAAUUGACAUCUAGAGAGAGAGGAGAGAUUAUCAUAGGUAUAACAUGUGGAGGUGUCCAUAUAUCACCACCACUCUCAUUAAAAUUGUAAUGAGAUGAAGUAUGAGUUUGAUCAUAAAUGGUUUUUUUUUAGAAAUACUUUUUAGGUGGUCAUUAUGAAAUCAGUAAACUUACCCUACAUACUCAUAUAUGAUUGAAUUUUUAACUUAGUGGAUUUUAAUUAAAAGAGGAUCCUCUUAAAUUAAAUUCAUGAAAUAUAUGCACAACAUUUCAUCCUUGUAUCAUUCACUUUCUAUUUGGGUUCCACUAAACAUAAACAAUGUAGAUACAAUAAUAUUUUAGGUUUGGAGGGCAUAGGAUCAUUAGGGGUGGGAGAGACAACCUAGUUGGGAUUGUUGCCCCUAUUGUGAUGCUUCUCCUUUCCUUUUUUUUGCUUAAAAAAAAAAAAACUAAACAAUGUAGGACGUCCACUUGUGAAAGGGAUUUUAGUGAUGAAGUCAAUGGUUAAUGAAAUCAAUCGUCGGAUGAAAUUCAUUUCGAUCAUUUGGAUUCAACUAAAUAAUGCAGUUCCACCUAGUAUUUGAUGAGUUUUAUUUAUUAAUUAUUUAGUCAGACUCACUUCAAUUUUAUCUGAUCCAAGAGUGAAGAGUUGUGUAUAUCAGAAUUGAGACACAUAGAUAUUUACUUCAAAUUCAACCUAUGACUAAUGAAUGAAUUGGUAAUGUUGCAAUGCAUGCAGGACCUGGCAUGGUAUUGGUUCGGGAAGGGUCUGGCAGUGGCAAAUCUGGCUUAUUUCUCCAUCAAUCUGUUUGGGUUCUUGAUACCCAGGUUCCUUCCAAGAGCUUUUGAGAGGUAUUUCCAAGACAAGGGAGAGAUCUAUGCUAAGUCUGCAGAGGAUAAAAGACCUGUGGUUGUCAACAAAACUCAAUUAUCAGAAAAGAAAGAUUAAUUACAGAGCUAUAACCAAUGUGACUUCACUUACAAUUUGAAACACUUUCAGCAUUCUUUUUUUCUUUUCUUAGAAAAUGGUAAUGAAUGUGUAUGAUGAUGGCUCUCCGUUACAUUAUGAAACUACAUAUGGUUUUUGGAUUAGUUUUAUGUGUCAUACAGGUUAAUUUAAAAUUUGGAGAUUUCUUCGACUCUUCUCCCCUUUGUUCAAUAUUAACAAUAACCAUCUUUUAUAGGAUAAAAAAAAUUCAGUGCCAGCUGCAUCCAUUUUAGAAUAUUUUCAUGUGCAACUCUUUAUUUCUCAUGUCAUUGAUUAUGUCGCUCAAGAAGAAGAUGAAGAAAGCAGAGUAGAUUGAUAAUUACACAAAGUCAGAAGCUAGUUCAUUGUAAGAACAACAAAAGGAUAGGGCUUUUUUUUUUAUAUAGAGAGCACUAAAUACAUAAUUUGACCAACCAAUAUAUCUCUAGAGAUGAACAUCCAACAAAGAUAACUCAAUAAAUAAUCUUAAAAUCACUACCAUGGAGAAAGGAGAGGGAGGGAGAAAAAAAGAAAAACUAAAACAAACCAUCUGCUGAAGAGUAAUUAACAAAGCGUCUAAUUUUAGAUUUAGCAUUCAUGGUAGUUUCAGAUAUCCUAGCAGACUCGUCCUCUUCUCUAGCCAGUUUCUCCUUGCUAGCAAUCUCUUUACAACGUAUUUUAUCACAUAUUAAUCGAAACUUUGCUUCCACUGCUUUCUUUUCUGCUUCACAUUCUUUCUAUUUUCUUUUGGCAGUUUCAAUGACCUUUCUGUUGUUAUCUUUUUCCUCUUUUAGAAUGCCAGAUUGUCCGAGAAUUUGCCUUGCCUCGAGUAUCUCUUCCAGUCUCAGGAAAAGCCACUCAGUGUUCACUUUCAUAUUUUUUAUUUCAUUUGCAACACCAAACAUGUUACGCAGCUCAUCUUCUGUGAUCUUAUCGAGACCUUUGUCUUGCAAUUCUAAGAUGAUGCCACAUAGAGUCCUUAAAAACAUCUCAUAUCACCUCUGAGAAUACUGACCGGAGUAACGUUGUGAAUACCAUGGAAUCCUUAAAAACAUCUCCAUGACAUCUCCAUGCUUGCUGAGAAUUUUUCUUAACAUGGGGAUGAAUUCUGGCUUCACUUGGUAUCCUUCAAUCGUGUCCAUUUGUCAUUUGUCCAACAAAAUUAACCACCCCAUCACCUUCUGUUGGGAACCAAGAAUUCCCCAUAGUCCUAAAUCCUUCAUUUUCCCACAGAUUAACCAUUUCAGUAAGGUUCAGGCGGAAACGUCAGGAUUUUGGGAAUAAAUAUGUAUGCGCAUAAUUUAAUUAUGUUAUUAAUUUUAGUAAAAAGUUAUUUUUUAUUUUAUUAUUAUAUUUAUUGUUUUAUUAAAUUGUUAAUUUGACAAGUUUUUGAUUAAAAUUUUGUUAUCAUCAUAGAGAUUAUGAUAAUGAGGAAAAAGUCUUUUAUAACUUUAAUAUAAACUAUUCUUUAUCGUAAGAUUAUUGUGAAUAAGACAUCAAUAAUUCUGAUAUAUCAAUAUAUAUGUAAUGAUCUUUAUUGGAUAAAAAUUAAUAAAUCUCAUUUAUUAAAUUGCAUAUAUAGAUGAUGUAUUUGUCAAUGUCAUCGUUGAACUAACUUAAGUAAAAAUUCUUAGUAGUUAAUAUAACAUUGAUAUGUCAAUAAGAAUUUAAAUAUAAUAGUUUAUUUUAACAUGAGAUUAUCAUAGUAGUUAACAAGUUAUUUGUUAUACUUUAAUUUUGGGCAACUAAUUCCUUGGGGUACUAGUUGAAUGAAUAUUGAAUAUAAUUAAAACGUGUAGAAUUAAUGAUUAAUUAAGAAGAAAUCAAUCAACUCUAGGUAAUGUGUUUGAGCUCUAUGAGAGAAUUAAGACCUUAGUUAGGACAAUUGAAUGAAAGAAGAAAAAAGUUUCAAGUCAUUCAUUGAUUAAAUGUGUUACUUAUUGGAGUUUGACAAUAAUAUUAUACUCUAGAGUUAACCUUGAGCUAUAAAUGAUGAAAGAAAAUAUUCUAUUAGUUCUUGAAGGUAAAAGAUGUUACUAUCAAGACAAGGAGUGUUACUAGACACCUAUGUUGAAGUUAAAAGAUGUUACUAUCCAGACUUUAAAGAGUGAUCAAUUUACUACCGGUUUAGUAUUGAACUUACGGGUCACACACAAACGAGUGUUUCAAUCUUUGCAAAAGAAAAUAAUGUAUUUGAUAAUUAAAUUAGAAAAUUUAAUUUAAUCAAAUAAAUAUUUUAGUGAAAUAUUAUUAUAUUUUUUUACUAGCAAUAAGGAUCUAAUUAAGAUAAAAAAAAGAGUAUUAUUUUAUAAAUGAGAAAGUUGUUCAUAAAAUAAGAAUAAUAUUUUAUUGUUAUACAUCAAGAUCAGAUCAUAUGAUUAAUUAUCGUAAUUAAUAAUGUGAUUAAUUGUGAAUUAUUUUUGUCUUAUGAGGGAAAGCUUCUUAAAAUAAAAGAUAUGAGAUAAUUUUUAUUUUUAUAAAGAUAAAGAGAUAUGAAAUUAUUUUAAAUAAAAUCUUUUUUUUUAUUGUUUGUAGAAAUGCUCAAAUUCAUAUCUAUCUAACAUUAUAAAGAAAAGUACCUAUUUGAGGUAAAAUGUAUCACACAUAGACAAGAAAAGUACAUCCAUGUACACAAUCUUAUUUGCUCUAUUUAUUAUUAUUGUAUAUUUUUUAAUGCAACUUUUGUGUAACUAUCAAAGGAUGCAUAUCCUACGAAACACAAACACCUCUCUUAUUUGAAAUGUAAUUGUGUGAGAUACAUUUUCGAUACUAACACACUCUCACACUUGUUGGACACUUCUCAUUAAGUUUUGGUUUAAAAAUUAAUUUUUAUUUCCUUGAACACUUAAGUCAUCACCUUUACACAACUAAUACACUUUAAAAAAUAUAAAAAAUUAGUUAAAAAAGAUUAAUAUACCAUCAAUUAAUAUUUUAUUAUAUGUUACUCAUAUUUAUUUAAUUAAAAUCUGUUUGUUUUGUUUGUGGGUAUGGGGUGUCUCCAUGUACUAUAUUUUAGACAUUAUCCAUGCUUCAUAAUACAUGACCAACCAUUGAAUUAGCCUUGCUCUUGUUCUUGUCUACUCUUCCCUAGAGUUACGGCUCAAGAGGGAUAUGUUCUGCUUCAAAUCCGUUGUGCCCUUCCAUUUGACUCGACUGAUCACUUCCUCCAUUUCAGCUACAUCAACUGAGCAGUUCUGAGAAACAAAAGCAACAGAAUGUCCAACCUUUUCAGCCUCUUCGUGUCAUUAACUUUAUAGAUGUGGAAACUGAACUAAAUAUUUCUGUAUUUUCUGCGCAACAAUGAUUAUUAACAUUGCCUCAACUCUCACGAUGACUAUAAUGGUUUUCCUUAAACAUCAAAAUGUGCAGCUUUGCUACAGUUACCAUAACUUACGAGUAGUUGCAGUUGGCAAGGAAUAGGGGCAGGUCUAAGGAAAAAAUUUCUUGAACCAGUAAAAUAAGGGAAUGAUAAGCAAUCUUGAACCUACUGAGAAGAUUUUGCAUUGUUAUAAACAACCAUAAUAGUUGAAUUGAAAGCUAGUACACUAGUAAAUGAAUAAAUUUUCAGUUUUAUACUUUCUACGUUAUGUGAGUUUCGGGGACUUCUUUUUUCCUUUUCAACUUUCCAAAGAGUGCCAAAAGAGUGGUUGACACAUAUCAGCGUUUGAUUGAUGAGAGCAAGUGAGGAAAAAGAAAUGUGCAUUAACUUCAGUAUAAUGUCAAAAAUAACAUAUAAAUAAAAAAAACUCUAAUGGCCAACAAAUAUAAUAGAAUAAGAGUAGGAGCUUGUGCCACAGUCUAGUAAAUCAGGAAAAGUUGUAGGGACAUUAAGAAUCAUACAAGUCAUGCAGCUACUAAUCAAACUAGUAAUUGAUCCUCAACUCUAUAUAACCGAGAAGAUCAAGGAAAUGACAUUAAAAAUAUUUUCCAUGUGUGGUGGAGCAAAAAUCAACCUCCACCCCUACAAAGGAUCUUAAAGUAUUUCAGAAUAUUUACUUAGAAACACAUCAAAAAAUAUCAGAGAGAGAUUUAAGUUUUAAUAAUGGGUUCUCCAUAAUCUUGUACCUAAUUAUGUGAGAUACAUGGGUAAAAAUGGAAGUAGAGAUUAUGAUUCUGCUUCCAAGUUCAUGUUUUUACCAUACAAAAAUGCUUCUAUGCAUAACCACAACAUUUGGAAACAAGGUGGAUAGCAUGCCUUACCCGAUUGUUUGGUGAACAAGUGUGAGAAAAAUCCAUCACCUGAACUUGCUUCCCCUUCUUUUUUGUUGUUCUUUGUUUGUGCAUAUUGAAUGUCAAUGUUCUUGUUCUUGCCAAACUUCUAAGUAAUGCAGAGUUGCGGAAUUCAACUGGUCUUGUUUAAACUGCGGAACUCAAAGCAAAAUCAAGUGAAACACUAAAUUUUAUUUUCGAACUGUGAGAGUGUGAGUGGGAACAUAAUAAUUCACAUUUUUUUAACCAAAAAUGUUAGUCACACUUUUCUGAAGGUAUACCCAAAAAUGAAAAAAAAAAAAUCAACUGAAAAAUGGGGUUUGGUGACACUUUUGUACGUACAGACAGUGGAAAAAAGUAAGAAAAAUAAUGCAUUAUGCAUGAACACUUUUUUGUGUUAUUAGAUAAAAAAAAUUAUCAACAAAUCUUAAUUGUUAGUUGUAUUAAUUUUCUGUAUGAUUUUUUUUUUCAACCACCAAAUCAAUCUUAUAAUUUAUUGUGUUAUUGGAUAGUAGUAUUUAGAGAAAAAUAGGUAUAAAAGAAGAAAAAAAAUUAUAAUGGUUUGAUGUCUACUAAUAGUUACUCUAAAAUGAUGAACUCGUUAUUUAUUCUCUCAAUUUGUAUUGUACUGUUUUCUUCCAUUUUGUUUGGUAAAUUGUUUUUCUUUUCAUGCCUUGGGAAUAAGUCCGUGUUUUAUCCUGGAGUACACGGCCACACAAUGGGUUAAAUUUGAGAUGGUUGAAUUUGAGUUGCCUUGCAACUCAACCAAUGCACUCCUAUGGUAUUUAAUUGAGACAAUAUGCAGUAUAACUUAAUUUGUGCAGCUUGAGGAAUUAACGGUGUUUGAGAAGGAUUUGACUAGGCUAUAAUUCACCUUGGAUUCGGAUCUAUCAAUAUCAUGGAUAAAACCCACAUUUAUUCUCUUGUCAUUUGAAUAAAUUUGGAUUAAUCAUCAAAUUUCGUUAACCCAUUUAUACUUUGGGUUAGUUAGACCACCCCAUAUUUAAUAGAAGAUCAAAAUCACGUAAUUGUGAUCUCUAAAAGAUUAAAAAUACAAUUUGCGUUCUAUAUUUUUUUUGUUUUACAUCAGAGCAGGUUUCAAAGAUAAUACCUGAAUGCGUGAAUUUAUCAAUUAUUACUAUCAUUUUCAUCAAAAUGUUAUAUUUCUACGUAUCAUUUUUUUUUAUUGAAAUUUAAGCUUUAUAUUCAUUUUAAUGUGAACUUUUUUGAGUUCAAAAUAAAUAGAAUAAUUUUCCUUACAACUUUUUAAAAUAGUAACAAGAUGUAUUAAAUACUCUACAGCAAUAUAUUUCAAAUUACUUAAUGUUACUAAUCAAUUAAUUACAUAUAAUAUAUUGAACUUUAUAUUCUAACAAUUUUUUAUACAGUAUCAUCUAAUAAUUUAAGUUAAAAAUUUAUGGAAAGAAAUAAACUUAUUUCAAGAAUAACUCUUAUAAUUACUCUUCAUUCUAAACAUUUAUUUUCUUAAAAUCUAAUAUUUAUAACAAAUAACCAAUUUUAAUCAUUAAAUUUUAAGAAAAUAAAUUAUUAAGAUAAAAAUAAUUCCUUUAAAAUUAUAAUAUGAGUGAGUUAAUCCCACUCUAUAUUUAUAUAUAUAAUGUGUGCGUGAAGAAAUCGAAAGCACCCAUUUAUCUUUAUCUAACUGUACAUUUGCUGAUGACCCAAUAAAAAUUAUCCAAAUUCAUCCGUUUGCACAGUCCUGUUGGCUUUAUGCACAUACUCACGCAACUUAGGUGAAUUUGUUUGAUAUUAAAAAAAAUCAUAAAUUAUUAAUUUGAUUUUGCAGCCUAUAUAAACUAACGACUAAGUUAUUGCAUUCAUCACAAGCUUUUCCCAAGACAGACCAUUCCAGACGAUACAAAUUUAUCCUUAUCAAAAUAGUAGACAACAAUGGAAUCACAACUUCCAAAUGUUAAAUCUUUCCAGUCAACGAGUCCUACAUUAAAUAAGCCGCUCAAACUGAGUUGGUGCAAAUGCAUUCUUCAAAAUUAAUGAUUUUCUUUCUUCUUACCCCAACGUUGCAGCUGAACUUCAUAUCAACUCAACUACAGAAACAAAAUCUCGUUGUGCACUAGCAGUAACUUUGAACAUUAAACUCCUCCCUCGAACCGGAAAUGUUAUAUAACUGUUAUAGUCCAAUCUUCUGCAACACGAACAUUAGGUCUACGUAUGGUUGUAACAGCUGGUGCACGAGCCCUUAGAACCCAAAGGGGGCCAAGUUCAAUAUCAACCUUUUGAUUUGAUGGCUCAAUGAGUGCAUUUUUUGAGCUAGGAGCAUGUCCCAGCAGGAUAAUCCUCUCAAUGAAAGCAUCUGAUGGAUAACGCCCCUUGCUACUGGAAGCAGGUGCCAGGUCUAUAGAAGUAAGUUUCCCAUUCGAGAAAAUAAAUCGUCUAUGGAUAUAGCCCCCUUGCAGAAAAUUAAAGCUGCUGCCAUCAUCUAUGUAGAGUUCACCCUCAGCUGCUUGGGAACUAUUCAGAGCUACAACCUGUCAAAAAGAAAGGCAUAACAAUUAUCAUGAAGUAGUUGUCUACUUUCCAUUACUGUCAAUAGUUACAAAGGCACAGCCAUGACACAUUUCCCAACACAAUGUCUCAAUCUUACUAGCUCCCAUUUUUUGGUUGGAAUGCAAACAAAUCAGGUUACUCAAAUAGUCAAUACCCAUGUGCUUAUGAUAAACUCCUGAGGUAUAACCCAUGAAAGUGGACAAAUGAGAUUAGAUUUAUUCUUGAAUGGAUUUAUACGCAUGCAUACAUGCAGUUUAUUCUUGCAAUGUAUAAAGUCAUUCAGUUUUUUGGUGGUACUACACACAUCCUCAUAGAAUAAAAUAGACAAAAGGCACAAUUGCACACAUACCCAUUCAACAUUUUAGUUCAAAACCAUAGAUAGGUGGGGAACACAAAUAUUAAAAAAAUGCAAUAUAUUUGCUCAACAAGUGCUUCAGUGUUCAAAGAGGGCCUGCAUAUGGCCUGAUUCCAAGCAGCAUGAGUGGCUAACUUGCAUAAAUUUUAUUAUAAUAUAUUAUAUAUGUUUUUUUUUUUGCUCAGCAAAAUUAAAUGUAUAUAUAUAUAUAUAUAUAUAUAUAUAUAUAUAUAUAUAUAUAAAGAGUACCAAAGGUACCAAACUACAUAAUGAGAUUAGGUGCACAACUGGUUCCCAAUGCUAGCCUAACAUAUAGGGAACCAUCUGAACCUAAUAUAUUAUAUAUGUAUGACUGCAAAGGGCUUGAAUACAAAGACAAUAGUCUAAGACCUAGUAAAAUAACAGAAAAGGCAAGAAAUAUGUUCCAUGAGACACAUCUGGCACUCAAUCAUAUGCACAAGAAUUGCAGCAAAUCAACAUGAACACAUACCAGAGUGUAGGGAUCAUUUGCCAUCUGAGUGGAACUUCGCCGAAACCGGUCUUUCCUUGCAAUAAUGGUUCCAGCUCUCUGGAAAGCAGGAAUGCUCUCCUCUGUAACCUCCAACUUGUGUGUCACCCCUCCCUUGUACACAGCUCCAGUUCUUAGGUCAUACCAGGAUUGUUUUCCAGGCAAAUAGACUGAUGCAUGCUUAGCUCGCUGCGAGCAACAAAGCAUUAUAAAAACUUUAGUUAAGGACCACAAAAAGAAGGAUAUGGUUUUGCAGAAGGAAAACAUAUAGGAUAUGGUUUUGCAGAAGGAAAACAUAUACGUAUAUGGAAACUGAUUAAAACACCUCUGUAUAGAUCCCUUGAACUAAAAUACUGCUCCCAACCAUGAAAGUUUCGUCAUUGCUAAAAGUAGCUUCAUCAGAUGGGAAUUCCAUCCACAAUGGACGGACCACAGGAACACCUGUAGUGUUAGCCUCCCUGAAUAAUGUGUAGAAAUACGGGAGAAGUGCAUAACGAACAUGUAUUGCAUCCUUAAUCAAUUCUGUAUUUCGUUCUCUGAAAUUUCAAAAAGACAAUCAAUUUACGAUGUUGACAAAUCCUAUGGUAGUCAAGACAUGCAAUAGAUACUUUUAGUGUAUAUGCAUCAAAUUCAUUUUUUAUAAAUUCAAUCAGUAUUGCCACUUAGUAACCCCAUGCAUGUGAGGGAGAUGUCACAUGGAGUUAUUGUCAAUUUCAGUGAUCAAGUGUCUGUGUGAUACGAAUUUGCAGUAGUAAUAUAAUAUAUAAUAUAGAUAUAGAAUUUAGCUCCACUUCAUUUACAUCUAAGAUUUACGUAGUAUUUCUGUGGAAAGGUUCAUCCCUUGAUACAGACUAGCCUGAUUUAAUAUACAUCAUCCUCUUGAAAAAUGUUUCACUGUCUUUUUAGAGGCAAUCAGCUCUUAAACAAAGAAAAGAGCGGUAAAAGAAUUACUGUUCAAUUGUUGGUGAGCAGGUAUAAUAUGAAAGGAGUACCCAAAAAACCUGUGAUAUUUUAACUUUGGGACAAAGAAAUUCUAAAGUAAAAGCAGUCCUACCCAAACAACCAUGGUUCUCGUCUUUUUGUGUCGUGAUGGGCGUGGGCCCUAAAGAAAGGAUAGUAAGCUCCUAGCUGAUACCACCGAACCAAUAACUCAGGUUCAGGAUUCCCAAAAAAUCCACCAAUAUCAGCACCUGCAUUAUGUACAAGAUAAGAAUAAGAUCAUAUGAACAAAGGGGGGCAGGGCAGGGGGAGUUUGCCUAACUUGUGCAAAUAAGUAUAUUGAUUGACUAUGAAUAUGCGAAGAAAAGAAUAAUGAAAUAAUAAAUACAUAUUGAGAAGGACAAUACCCACCAGAGAAUGACAUCCCAGUAAGACCAAGGGUCAAAACCAUUGGGAUAGAAACUCUUAGGUGAUCCCAAUCAGCAGUGUUAUCCCCAGUCCAAACUGCUCCAUACCUUUGACUUCCAGCAAAUAAUGCUCUUGAUAAAACAAAUGGCCUGUCAUUCCCCUCACCACGCUUCAGUAGCCCAUUAGCGGUCGCCAUGUGGAAGUAAUAUCCAUAGGCAUUGUGCAACUCCCGAUGUUCCACACCUCCAUAGUGUGUAACAUCUCUAGGCAUUGUCACCUGGAUACAAUGCAUGCAAACAUAUCUUCAGUUUCCCUAUCUUCAGGUGGGCAUUAGAAGUAUAAGAAAAACUUAAGGGGGGUGUUACAAAAGCACACUAAACAUGUGGAUCACAUGAAAUCCAGAAAUCCUGACUCUGCUUCUCAAGUGGCAUAAGAUUUUUUAAUCAAAAGCAUAUAAAAUAGACAUCACGAUACUAUUAAUCAAUGUUGGUUUGACUUCACAAGGACUUAGUCAAAUUUUUUAAUCUUCCUCAUAUUAUGAGAUCAUACAUUGGUAGAAUCUUCCCUUAGUUGAGGAAGUUCUAUUUUUAUUCAUCAUACUCUCAUCCUCCUCCUUCUCCUUAUGCGCACUUUUAUACAACAGGCAAGCUAUCAUUGUGGUGCCACAACCAGUAAACGAUAUGAAUGAUGAUGGUGGUGUGACCGAUAAAUUGGAUGAUCAUGGCAUUGAUAUCUACUAAUCUAGAUAUAUGUAUUUUUAUCAUGUGUUGGGAUUUAUGUGUUAAGAGGUAACAUUUGUUUAAGAGUUAACCCUAAAUUAUGAGGCCAUUGAUGAUUAGAAGUCAAUAUUGUGCUGAAUUAUUACAAAUCUUACAUUCAUUUUAGAGCUCAUAAGAUGUUAAUGUACAUCAUUCAUGAUUAUUCUUAGAAUGUGAAUUUGGGUCUAACUCAACCCUAGAAAAUCAGCUUGUAAGGUGAGGGUUGUCCCCCACUUGUAUACACUACUAUGGCCUUAUCACUAUUCGAAGUGAGAUCUCCAACAAUUAUCAUGAAAAUGGAUGGUGAUAUUGAGUUUCUUCCCUAAAGCACACAACUUGUGUUCUGUUUCUGAAGAGCCUCAAAAACAUUGAAAAGGCACAUUCCAACUUCCAAAUCACAAUAAAAACAAGGAAACUAAAAGAAAUAGAAACCAAUCCAUAAAAAAAUAGGCAUACCUCAGGCCCAUUGAAGACAGAAGGUUCAUUCAUGUCAUUCCAUAUGUAAAGAGAAGGCGUGGAACCCUCAUAACUCUGGUAAGAGAACUUAUCAGCCCACCAGGACCUAAUUUCCGGGUUCAAAGUAUCCGGAUAUGAUGACGAACCCGGCCAGCACCAGCCAUCAAAGUCAUUCCCACUGGCAUCCUUAACAUAAUACCCCUUCUGAGAGGCCUCCUUGUGCAAAUGAAAAUUCUCGUCCCGCUUAAUGUGAGGAUCCACAAUGGUCACCAUGUGCCUCCCUUUAGAAGCCAACUUCCUCUGCAUCUCCUCAGGGUGGGGGAAAAGAGCCCUAUCCCAAGUAAAAUACCUCUUCCCAUCAGUGUGCUCAAUGUCAAGCCACAACACAUCAUAAGGAAUAUCCAACUCAUCAAACUUGGAAUCCACAUGCUCAACAUCCUCCUCAUCGCGAUAAUUCCACCGGCACUGGUGGUACGCAAUCGAAAACAGCUGCGGCAUCGCCGGAGUUCCCGUCACCGCCGUGUACUGUCUCAGCACAUCCUUAGGGUUCGGACCGAUGAAAAAGAAAGCGUCCACAACACCAGCCUCGCUCAUCCAAAACGUGUCGAUUCGGUGCGAAGGGAGCGCUAUGCCGGACUCGGCGUCCCAGCCAGGGGCAAGAACGUCAAUCUGCAUCUCGGCGGCGUUGAGCCAGAAAAACCCGGAACUUCCCCUGGCUUUCCCGUGAGAAACCAUGAAGGGAAUGGAACCGUAGAGGCCGAAAGGGGAAUCGUGGAUGUACUCGAAGACGUCGAGGUUGAAGAGGCGG